This is a long non-coding RNA of Brassica oleracea var. oleracea, 454 nucleotides long. RefSeq lists it as uncharacterized. The record is from RefSeq and is a predicted model, not a curated record. The transcript has 2 exons. Lineage: Eukaryota; Viridiplantae; Streptophyta; Magnoliopsida; Brassicales; Brassicaceae.
AUGUAAAGAUGCAAAGACGCAAAUUCGUUAAUGUUCCAUAUUUUCUCUCUUCUUCGUAAAAAUUGUAUUUCUUUUCCAUAAUCUCUCUCACACGUUACAAUUUCAGAACCUCCAAACUUGUAUGUAAGCAAGAUCUGUAUUCUUCGAGCAACAUCCAUGAAUAUCAACGGUAUCAAGAAGCAGAAUGAGAUAAUCCUGAUGGAUAAACAUGGCGUGAAGUGCGUAACGAAGCUGGUGAGGGAUGGAUCAAAAUAUGGAAAAAGAGGAUUGGGAAAAGGAUGCAAAGAUUUCUGUGAAGCUAGUGAUGUAUUGAAGAUUGGACAGCCUUUUAUGUCGGAAUUGGUUUGGGAAGACAGUGUUCCUGUUCUUACGUUUUUGUUCUAAGGUCAAGGUUGAAACAAUCUGUGACUAAUAAAGAACGGAGUAAUUUAAUUAAUGUCUCUAAAUUAGAUAA